AGUGAACGCUGGCGGUAGGCCUAACACAUGCAAGUCGAACGGCAGCACAGAGGAGCUUGCUCCUUGGGUGGCGAGUGGCGGACGGGUGAGGAAUACAUCGGAAUCUACUCUGUCGUGGGGGAUAACGUAGGGAAACUUACGCUAAUACCGCAUACGACCUACGGGUGAAAGCAGGGGAUCUUAGGACCUUGCGCGAUUGAAUGAGCCGAUGUCGGACGAGCUAGUUGGCGGGGUAAAGGACCACCAAGGCGACGAUCCGUAGCUGGUCUGAGAGGAUGAUCAGCCACACUGGAACUGAGACACGGUCCAGACUCCUACGGGAGGCAGCAGUGGGGAAUAUUGGACAAUGGGCGCAAGCCUGAUCCAGCCAUACCGCGUGGGUGAAGAAGGCCUUCGGGUUGUAAAGCCCUUUUGUUGGGAAAGAAAUCCAUCUGGUUAAUACCCGGGUGGGAUGACGGUACCCAAAGAAUAAGCACCGGCUAACUUCGUGCCAGCCGCCGCCGUAA
This 506-nucleotide ribosomal RNA is filed under the name uncultured bacterium. RNAcentral describes it as "partial 16S ribosomal RNA". It matches the Rfam family "Bacterial small subunit ribosomal RNA", at positions 29 to 523 of the family's 1533-position model. The record is from RNAcentral.